AUGAAAAUAGUGAAAUAGUUAAUAAAAAAUUGGAGUUGUGGGAAAAACUAUUGAGAAUCAGGAUUUUUAGCUUAAGUAGAAGUAAGACCGAAUAUAUGCAUUGCAAGUUCCGCUCUUGUAGAAUAAAUAGAGGGAAAUUCAAUUGGAUGGAGUUUUAGUGCCAAAAUGUAACUAAUUCAAGUAUCAAGUUCUAUCAUCCAAAAGAACGGAGUAAUAGACAAAAAUGUAACUCAUAGGAUCAAAAUAGGAUGAUGAAAUGGAGGAGUGCAACGGGUGUACUAUGCAAUCAUAGGAUCCCUUACAAAGUGAAAGAUAAGUUCUAUA
This 324-nucleotide unclassified non-coding RNA is filed under the name Hevea brasiliensis (rubber tree). Lineage: Eukaryota; Viridiplantae; Streptophyta; Magnoliopsida; Malpighiales; Euphorbiaceae. The record is from RNAcentral.